CCCUUAGACGUUCUGGGCCGCACGCGCGCUACACUGACCAGUGCAACAAGCAUCCGUCCUUGGCCGACAGGCCCGGGCAAUCUUUGAACGCUGGUCGUGAUGGGGAUAGACUUUUGCAAUUUUUGGUCUUCAACGAGGAAUUCCUAGUAAACGCAAGUCAUCAACUUGCAUUGAUUACGUCCCUGCCCCUUGUACACACCGCCCGUCGCACCUACCGAUUGAAUGGUCCGGUGAAGCCUCCGGAUUGGCGCGCACCUCGGUGCCGCCGAGAAGUUGGCUAAACCUUACCAUUUAGAGGAAGGUGAAGUCGUAACA
Molecule: ribosomal RNA, 315 nt
Filed under: uncultured eukaryote
Lineage: Eukaryota
Description: partial 18S ribosomal RNA
Rfam family: Eukaryotic small subunit ribosomal RNA
Source: RNAcentral